Molecule: long non-coding RNA, 791 nt
Organism: Ooceraea biroi (clonal raider ant)
Lineage: Eukaryota; Metazoa; Arthropoda; Insecta; Hymenoptera; Formicidae
Source: RefSeq, a predicted model, not a curated record
UGGAAUACAGCUUGGUGGUCCGUGGUAUUCAUGGGAUCGUUACACAUGACGUUUACAUUGGACGAGCAAACCCAGCAUCGUAAAGCGGAACCUGUUAAACGCACGAGAAGAAAUCUAUGAAGUCGUCCAUUUUAUAAAUUAAAUUCCUCUAAUUUGAAUGUUCAUGUCGGAGCGUUUCUAGUAUGUCAUCAAGUUAUUUUGGCGUCGGCCAUGUUCGUUUAAGGUAUCAGUAAAAUAAAAAUUAAAAUUCAUGGGAGCACAUGGAAGUUAUAAAGUUAUGGCAAAUACCUGCGCAAUACCAUACCGGAAAACAGGCGCGGUUAUGAUUAAAAAGUGACGUAACGCUGAGUGACCGUCUAUAUUAGUAGUUGUUGUUAUAUACAAUCAGGUUGCCGCCAUUGUAAAAAUGCAUUGAGGCGCGACGUAGUAGGUAACUUAACAGGAAAUGUCACGAUAUAAAAAACAAAACAGAACAAUAUUGUUGGCUACUGAAAUAAGUAAUAUCGUACUAAAAACAUGCAGUACUUGAGGACAAAAUUACAUAUGAAUAUGAGUACGAUAAGAAUAUAGCUACAAACAUGAUUCUGAGAGAAAAUUAUAAACAAGUUUUUAUAUUAACAUUAAAUUAAAUUUUGGUGAAUGAAUUUCCUAAAAUAGACAAAAUUUAUGGGGAAUACUGAUGUAAAUCAUACAGAAAACAAUUAUAUCUCUACAGCCAUAAAAUCAGCAGCGUGAAAAUAUUCCUUUUUAUAAUACAAACAAAUAAACUCUUCAAAACUUCAAACAAAAAA